CAGACUUACAGUGCAUUCUGGCUAACAUUUUUUUUUACCUAACGUGUUCCCUGGGAAUCGAACCCACAACAUUUUGUGCUACUAACACAAUGCUCUACCACUGAGCCACAGGAACACCUACACUGUAAAACCCCUGAGCUCUCAACUUCCUUGACAAAAAAAAAAGAAAGAAAGUGUCUGAAAAGCUAUGCAUGUGACCAUCACUUCCACAAGACGUUGUUCAACAGAAACUAGUCAUAGUCACACAGAGCUGUGAAGAUGGCAUGUUUGUGAGAUACAGUUUUCUAUUGAUCAGUAUCUGUUUAAGAAGCACUUCGUGGGCAGACUCAAUGCUGCAAGUUACAUCUUUAAUUGGAGCUGUUGGGAAUAAUAUCAUCAUCCAGUGUGCUGCUGAUAAAACCCCUCAAGAUGGGGUGUACCUGUACAAACAAGAAGGAGCAAGUAAAAAUAAGCAGGAAGUCUUCUACUAUUACACAGAUGGGACUUUUAGCCCUAAAUCAAAAUGGUGUAGAGACAAAGUCAAAGUAAAUGGAACAUUUCCCAACUUUAAUGUCAUCGUCUUGAAUGUAAAAGCCACAGACAUUGGGUUGUACUGGUGUGAAUUUAAUUUGGAAGACAAAAAGUCAGUUGGCACAGUCACAUGGUUAUGGAUAGAAGAAUCAGUAGAUAUAAAAACAAAUAAAACAGGAGAAAUAGAAAGAAAAGGAGAAGCAGGAGGAAAAGAUGAUGAGAAAGUGUGCUCAGGAGAUAUUCAUCAUCAUGUGAAGAUCUUUCUCAUUGUGUGUGCUGUCAUGCUGCUGCUGCUGUGCAUCACUGGUUUCAUCUUUGUGAUUCUGAAGGUCUCUCAAUGUUUGACAAUGUGUAACAAUGAACGGCGCCAGACAGCGAACACAAGGGGAUUCGAAUAGGGAGACUAAUGAUAACAUAACAGGUGACACAGGUGAAGGGGUGUUGUAGGAUCAAGAAAUACAGACCAUCAAAUCCACCCUCAGACUCAGUUUAUGAAGAGAUGAGACGGAGUACUUUAGACGGCCAGCCCAGUGUACGGACGCUCAUCAACCCUGACUAUCAAUCCAUUAUGUUACUCCACUAAAUAUCUGUGAUAUAAAGUUAAAAUUUAUCUCUCUAUUUGGAUUGGCAAAGCUUUCAAAUGAUUUAUUGCUUCAUAUUUGAGUUUCUCACUUUCCUUUUUUUCUUAUCCUUCUUUCAGUUCAGAGAGAGAGAAACAUAAUCUACCUGAUCUACUGAUGAAAACAUAACUGUGGGAACUUUUUCAAAAGACAUGAAAUACAGACCAAUAAGUACAUAUCAGUGCAGAAAUGAACACUAGAGGCAGUAACACAGCGAGCACUUGUAAUCGUCUUCAUACACAGUUAUGAUUACAGCUCCACGUCUUUCACUAUGGUUAUAUUUAAGAUGCUGUAGAUCAGGACCAACUUAUUAGUUUAAGUGUAAAGAAUUAAAAAAAGAUGCAGCAGUUUAAGAGAUACUGUCAGCUGAUGGACAACAGAAAUGUCAAAGAGCUCAUUUGUGGUCUUGUGUGCACAUGCCUGCGAGCUACUUUCAGUCUGACAAAUAGUCCAACCGUGAACUGACUGAUAGAAUUAAAGUACAGAAUCAUAUUUCACUCCUCUGUUCAUAAUAAAGGCAAUCAAAGCUAUUUUAUAUCAUUGCAAAUUUUAAACUAAACACUGCAAAAAUAGUAGGCUACUUGUUUACAGAGUUUGUAUUUGAUUCUCUGAUGUUCAUUUCUAAACUUGGUCACCACUCUUAACCAAACAUCUUCCUUUGCAGUUGUGGUCAUGUCUUCCUUUCUGUAACCUUAGAAUGCAUCAAAACAAGCCUGACUUGUUUGUAGUGCUGACUAACUAUGAUGAAGUUUAAAAAGUAUGCUGUGCGUGCAGAUGAGGCUUUUAUGUAUUAAAAGAGCAUAUAUUACAUAACAUGCAUUACUUAUCAUCCAGCUUGGUUUCAUUUUUAAUGUAUUUUAAUGUUUUUAAUGUAAUGUUUAUAUGUAUUUGAUUUAGUAUAUUUUGCCUUUGACAAGAGUGUCUCUUGUCUUUGUAUUGUGCAAAAUAACAUGAAAAA
RNA transcript from Cyprinus carpio (common carp), 2088 nucleotides. RefSeq lists it as uncharacterized. Lineage: Eukaryota; Metazoa; Chordata; Actinopteri; Cypriniformes; Cyprinidae. The record is from RefSeq and is a predicted model, not a curated record.